ACAAGCUGCCCGCCGCAUCGGAGAAGUGGAGGCGUUGCGUUUGAGAGUCUCGACCUGUCGUCUCCCUAGCACGUCUUCUUCUGCGUGACAGACUUUGUGAGCAUGGAGGGGACUCCGAAAGACACCGUCAGUAGGUACAAGAUCAUGAACGGAAGAAAGUCCAAACAGAAAUUGUUAGUUCAAGAGGCUGUAUUAAGCAUCAAUGUUAUCGAAUUGGAGAUUCACCAGAUAAUUAGGUCAUGUUUCUCUCGGAUAAAUUUCAAAGGUAAAAAUACUGCUAUCCUAGAGAAGGACGAUGAAAUCAUCUCUGCAGCAUCUAUAAGAAUACAUGGAACAAGGAUGGCGGAGAUGCCAUUUGUGGCAACCCAACAGAAGUUUGGGAGAAAAGGAUUGCUUCAAAAGUGGUAACUAGUUGCCAUUGAAUCUAUAACAAUUUACAUAAGACAAGCUGAUUUGUGAGUGUGACUCUAAAACUGAAAGCAAAGGAAGAAAUAGUUUUAAUAAUCAGAGUAUACAAGCAGGCCCCCUAGAAGAUAAGCGUAUGCAAUAUUCAGAACCAGGAACUUGGUUGAACUGAGCAAAUGGCAUAAGUGCUGCAAGCUCAAAUAGGAAUUGGCAAUUCGUAAGGCGAAAACGAGGCCCCGCUCUCCUAAGAAUGGGGCUAAUGAAGACAAGCACAUAACAUCAGUAUUUGUCUCAAGUAAUAUAUCCAAUAUUCCAAAACAGGAAUAAGAUUACGUUGAUCAAAUGGCUCUACUUGGUGCAGCUGCAAACUCAACUGGGAACAAGAAUGAUGUUACCUUGAUUGAAUGGCUGAAUGAAGUGGGGGCAACAAGCUCAACUGGGAAUUUGCAAUUGGCAAGGCAAAAAGGUUAUCCUCCUAAAAAUA
Non-coding RNA from Prunus avium (sweet cherry), 889 nucleotides. NCBI's taxonomy places the organism in Eukaryota, Viridiplantae, Streptophyta, Magnoliopsida, Rosales, Rosaceae. The record is from RefSeq and is a predicted model, not a curated record.